Molecule: small nucleolar RNA, 113 nt
Organism: Cavia aperea (Brazilian guinea pig)
Lineage: Eukaryota; Metazoa; Chordata; Mammalia; Rodentia; Caviidae
Source: Ensembl
AAGCUUUCUUAAAAUGUCUUUUUCACUCCAACUGUAUGCGAGAGCAACCUGGAGAGAUUUGAUAGCUCAGGUCAACUCAAUACCUGUGGCUGCUACUCACCUUUCCUAUAAGG